This 345-nucleotide ribosomal RNA is filed under the name Triticum aestivum (bread wheat). RNAcentral's name for it is "partial small subunit ribosomal RNA". The record is from RNAcentral. Lineage: Eukaryota; Viridiplantae; Streptophyta; Magnoliopsida; Poales; Poaceae.
AUGUCUGACAGCACUACAAGAUGGUACCAGCGUCCAACAGUGCCGCCAAGAGUCAAUAAUAUUCUCAAGAAAGAAUAUGUGCAUGUUCCAGACCAUGCAUCUCAACAUCUCAUAAAGCACCAAUCAUACAUACACAGAUCCAAAUUGGUAGUACUCUAUGCUGUAUUAUAUCAGAUCUGGCAGAGCCCCAGCAUCCAGUUGCAACGAAAACUUAGAAGUUAUUGCCUCCAUGAACAAACAAAUCAAGGGAGGAACAAGAACAGGAUGCAGAAAGGAGGAACCCAACCAACCCUUCUUAGAUUGCCUUUAGAAUUGAACUCAAGACCUAGAAUUACAUUCAUAUAG